AUCGCUUCUCGGCCUUUUGGCUAAGAUCAAGUGUAGUAAGUGGUACUACUUGGUUAAAAAGAAUUAGAGUGUGAUUCUGUAUUGCAGAGAAAAAUCUUAAAAUUAAUAUUUGGUUGUCUGUAAUGUACUUUUU
Molecule: small nuclear RNA, 133 nt
Filed under: Fukomys damarensis (Damara mole-rat)
Lineage: Eukaryota; Metazoa; Chordata; Mammalia; Rodentia; Bathyergidae
Description: U2 spliceosomal RNA
Rfam family: U2 spliceosomal RNA
About the family: U2 is a small nuclear RNA (snRNA) component of the spliceosome (involved in pre-mRNA splicing). Complementary binding between U2 snRNA (in an area lying towards the 5' end but 3' to hairpin I) and the branchpoint sequence (BPS) of the intron results the bulging out of an unpaired adenosine, on the BPS, which initiates a nucleophilic attack at the intronic 5' splice site, thus starting the first of two transesterification reactions that mediate splicing.
Source: Rfam by way of RNAcentral